RNAcentral lists this non-coding RNA (27 nucleotides) under Mus musculus (house mouse). The record is from RNAcentral. Lineage: Eukaryota; Metazoa; Chordata; Mammalia; Rodentia; Muridae.
UGUCAAGAGACUCAGGUUUGUCAGAGC